RNAcentral lists this ribosomal RNA (442 nucleotides) under uncultured bacterium. Its description in RNAcentral is "partial 16S ribosomal RNA". It matches the Rfam family "Bacterial small subunit ribosomal RNA", at positions 338 to 795 of the family's 1533-position model. The record is from RNAcentral.
CCUACGGGCGGCAGCAGUAGGGAAUCUUUCACAAUGGGCGAAAGCCUGAUGGAGCAACGCCGCGUGCAGGAUGAAGGCCUUCGGGUUGUAAACUGCUUUUAUAAGCGAGAAAUAUGAUGGUAACUUAUGAAUAAGGAUCGGCUAACUACGUUCCAGCAGCCGCGGUCAUACGUAGGAUCCGAGCAUUAUCCGGAGUGACUGGGUGUAAAGAGUUGCGUAGGUGGCAUAAUAAGUAGCUAGUGAAAUCUGGUGGCUCAACCAUUCAGACGAUUAGCUAAACUGUUAAGCUCGAGACCGUUAGUGGUAACUGGAAUUUGUAGUGUAGGAGUGAAAUCCGUAGAUAUGAGAAAGAACACCAAUAGCGUAGGCAGGUUACUGGGACGGUUCUGACACUAAGGCACGAAAGCGUAGGGAGCGAACGGGAUUAGAUACCCUUGUAGUC